AACAAUGGCUAAUCCAACUUGUAUUAAAACAAAUAAUGAUUAUACAUAACCCAAAAGGACGUACCUGAUCCCUAAUACUAAUCUCGUUAAUUAUAUUUAUUGGCUCAACUAACCUUCUAGGUUUAUUACCCCAUUCUUUUACACCAACUACCCAGCUAUCAAUAAAUUUAGGAAUAGCUGUUCCUCUAUGAGCAGGAGCAGUAAUUACUGGAUUUCGUCACAAAACUAAAGCAUCAUUAGCCCACUUUCUCCCACAAGGAACCACAAUUCUACUUAUUCCCAUACUCAUUAUUAUCGAAACAAUCAGCCUUUUUAUUCAACCUAUAGCAUUAGCCGUGCGACUAAC
RNAcentral lists this long non-coding RNA (346 nucleotides) under Marmota monax (woodchuck). The record is from RNAcentral. Lineage: Eukaryota; Metazoa; Chordata; Mammalia; Rodentia; Sciuridae.